ACGUGAGUAACCUGCCCCCCACUCUGGGAUAACCUCGGGAAAUCGGGGCUAAUACCGGAUAUGAGCUCCUACCGCAUGGUGGGUGCUGGAAAGUUUUUCGGUGGGGGAUGGACUCGCGGCCUAUCAGUUUGUUGGUGAGGUAAUGGCUCACCAAGGCGAUGACGGGUAGCCGGCCUGAGAGGGCGACCGGCCACACUGGGACUGAGACACGGCCCAGACUCCUACGGGAGGCAGCAGUGGGGAAUAUUGCACAAUGGGCGAAAGCCUGAUGCAGCGACGCCGCGUGGGGGAUGACGGCCUUCGGGUUGUAAACCUCUUUCAGUAGGGAAGAAGCGAAAGUGACGGUACCUGCAGAAGAAGCGCCGGCUAACUACGUGCCAGCAGCCGCGGUAAUACGUAGGGCGCAAGCGUUGUCCGGAAUUAUUGGGCGUAAAGAGCUUGUAGGUGGCUUGUCGCGUCUGCCGUGAAAACCCGAGGCUCAACCUCGGGCGUGCGGUGGGUACGGGCAGGCUAGAGUGUGGUAGGGGAGACUGGAACUCCUGGUGUAGCGGUGAAAUGCGCAGAUAUCAGGAAGAACACCGAUGGCGAAGGCAGGUCUCUGGGCCAUUACUGACACUGAGAAGCGAAAGCAUGGGGAGCGAACAGGAUUA
This 650-nucleotide ribosomal RNA is filed under the name Brachybacterium sp. cb7. RNAcentral describes it as "bacterial SSU rRNA". It matches the Rfam family "Bacterial small subunit ribosomal RNA", at positions 115 to 780 of the family's 1533-position model. Lineage: Bacteria; Bacillati; Actinomycetota; Actinomycetes; Micrococcales; Dermabacteraceae. The record is from RNAcentral.